GGGGCCGACUGGACUUGACAGGAGGCAUAAAUGCGUAUGUAAGCAUGCAGGCUCAUGGGGUGAGAGCCUUGAAAGAUAGUCCCGACCUAUGAAUGGCGAAGAUUAUUCUUACGCUAUGGCAGCUUAAUCUGAUAUAGUAUCAGGUUAACCCUGGUUUCCAAUAAGAUUGGGACCGGCCAUCAUCGCUCUCCGCCUUGGUACUGUGGGCAGGGAAAUAGCGGUGUCAGAUAACAGCUACUGGUUUCGGUAAGGUUGCGCAUCCGGAACGAGAUUUAAGCAACUAAGGUAAAGUUUGGUAGUGAUACACCUGGCUUUAUUCGAAAACCAAAGUAUUACUAAGCAUGUAGAAGAUCCGUAAUUUAUCUUCUCUGGACCGGGGUUCGAAUCCCCGCGGCUCCACCA
Molecule: transfer-messenger RNA, 402 nt
Filed under: Cyclobacteriaceae
Lineage: Bacteria; Pseudomonadati; Bacteroidota; Cytophagia; Cytophagales
Also listed under: 1 other name
Description: SZUA-3 sp021604845 Standard tmRNA
Rfam family: transfer-messenger RNA
About the family: Bacterial tmRNA, also known as 10Sa RNA or SsrA, is named for its dual tRNA and mRNA-like properties. Its role is to liberate the mRNA from a stalled ribosome. To accomplish this part of the tmRNA is used as a reading frame that ends in a translation stop signal.
Source: RNAcentral